RNAcentral lists this ribosomal RNA (418 nucleotides) under uncultured bacterium. RNAcentral's name for it is "bacterial SSU rRNA". It matches the Rfam family "Bacterial small subunit ribosomal RNA", at positions 362 to 776 of the family's 1533-position model. The record is from RNAcentral.
UAUUGGGCAAUGGGCGAAAGCCUGACCCAGCAAUGCCGCGUGUGUGAUGAAGGCCCUCGGGUUGUAAAGCACUGUCGGGAGGGAAGAAAAAGCUCGGGUAACGCCGAGCCUUGACGGUACCUCCAAAGGAAGCACCGGCUAACUCCGUGCCAGCAGCCGCGGUAAUACGGAGGGUGCAAGCGUUGUUCGGAAUUACUGGGCGUAAAGCGCGUGUAGGCGGCAUCGUAAGUCGGAUGUGAAAGCCCUCGGCUCAACCGAGGAAGUGCAUCCGAUACUGCGGAGCUUGAGUGUCGGAGGGGAUGGCGGAAUUCCCGGUGUAGAGGUGAAAUUCGUAGAUAUCGGGAGGAACACCUGUGGCGAAGGCGGCCAUCUGGACGACAACUGACGCUGAGACGCGAAAGCGUGGGUAGCAAACAGG